CUCUGGGAAUCUGUUUCUUUAUGUGUCUUUUUCUUUUCUUUGAAAAGAAAUGAAAUGAAAUGAAGCUUAAAAAUCUCUACAGGAGGGCAGAGAAGACAUGACAGAGAUUGUUUUAAAGAUAUCACUACCUUUCUCCAAAAUAAGGGAUGACUGCAUAAAAUAUAUCUAAAACCAGAAGGAUUCUGGUUUUCUCUUCUAGAAUCAACGCUGAGGCUCUGAGGUUGACCUGCCGACUCCAUCACGCUCAGCAGGCCGUCAUUUAAAGCAAGCCCUUUAUGCAGGCACUAUGAAUGACCUUGGAAAUGCAGAGAUUUACAGACAGGAUCCUCUUGUCAAAGUGUGGAUGAUCUCGCCAGGAAAUCCAGAAGGUCUCAUCCAAUCAGUUGAACGUUUUAAGAGAAAAGAGGUUCUCAGAAGGGAAGAGAGAAUUCUGCCUUUUACCACCUUUGGACUUGAGCUGCAACAUCAACCCUGCCCUGGGUCUUCAGCCUUCAAGUCCACCUUGCAGAUUUUGGAUGUUCAGUCUCUACAGUCAUGUGAGUCAAUAACUCCCUCUCUCUCAUAUGUACGUGUGUGUGUGUGUGUGUGUGUGUGUGUGUGUGUGUGUACAUCAUAUUGGUUCUUGUUUUCUGGAAAACCCUGACUCGUACACUUUUAAAACUGGAGAACCGAUAGUUUAAGCCUAUGCUCACUUCUUCCCUUGACCCCAGAAAUAACCUCAGCCCUUACUUGUCAAAUGAAAAUCAGGCUCCAGAUAUGAACUCCUUCCACUUCCCACUCUGAUACCCAAGAAUUUACCUGGACUUGGAUGAGCCCUCACCUCCUAAUCUCAAAAUAAGAAAAAUCACCACUUUGCCCUUCCGGGUCAGAUCUUCCCCGUGUUCUUGAUCAGAACCUUUGUCAUCUUCCCCCAAACUGGGACCUUGCUCCAUCGAUCAUCAGCUCUCUCCAGUACUUCCUGGCACCCAUCUCCUUCCCCAGUAUCUAAAAAUAUGUUCUAAUGUCUCCCACGUUUUACAAAGGAAAGCAAAAUAACAUCUCCCUGAAUCUUAACUGGCACCUUCUCUCUCUUCUUCCCUUCGCAGCCAAGCUCCUCAAUGCUUUUUUUUUUCCACCCUUUUUACAGCUGCACCUGCAGCACAAGGAAGAGGCAACAGCAGAUCCUUAGCCCAGGGAUUGAACCCCCAUCCUCACAGAGACAAAGGCAGGUCCUUAACCCACUAAACCAUGAUGGGAACUCUUCCCAUUCACUCUUCAGCUGAUCCCUUCUGCCUCCCACCCCUCACUGUGCCAUUAAACCCACUCUGCCAAAGACACCAGCGAUCCCAGGUUGCCAAGACCAGAGGGCGCUUUUCAGUUCUGACUUUACCUGAUCUUUCUGUAUCCUCUGAACAGGAACCCCUCCCUUCCUGUCCCUCCCCAUCCCUAGAUGCCAUGACUCCAUCUCUCUUAGUUUUUCCAAACGGAUUCAAACCACUGAUGGCAACACGGAUAAUUUUAGAUGGUCCAAGGCCACAACCAGGGCUUUGUACACCGUGUAAAGUGGCCCUCUCUGGAUCUGAGCCCUGCCCCAAAGGUGAUUUGUGUAGUGAGAAAAUAGAUUCCCUCUUAGGCUCUUGCAGUCCUUCUAAGUUAAACAAAGAGAACAUCUCAGUUUGAAAUUAGCCCUGCCCCAAAGGUGAGUUGUGUAGUGAGAAAAUAGAUUCCCUCUUAAGCUCUUUCAGUUCUUCUAAGUUAAACAAAGAGAACAUCUCAGUUUGAAAUGAGUGUGUCUUUAACAGCUCUCCAAUGCUUGCUAACUUUCCUUUUCUGAAAAGAUAAAAGGAAAGCCCUCUCAAACACAUAGCCUUUUCUGGCCAAUAAGUCACGAGCUAGAAUCUAGAAAUGGGUUUUUUGUUUAUCUCUAUUCUUACUUAUUUUUUGGAGUACUUUCCACUGGUGACAAGUGAGGCUACUUUCUUACUUACUACAGUGAUAAUACAUUUCCUUUCUAAAUAAUCUCAAAAAAAUUGAAGUUGAGUUGAACUGAGAAAAAGCCCAAGAAAAGCCAUAGGGCAGGUGACACAGACCUAGGGUACACAGAUGCCUGCAGUUUGAGAAACACUGCUUCCACACUGGUGUGUCUCAAGGGCCUGACCUCCUUCCUCUCACAUGUCACGUGCUCUGUGCCAUUUCUCAUCUAGUCACAGAGAUUUAAUCACUGCUGAUAGGCCUUAACACCAUUAUCUCUGUCUGUAGCUCUCUCCUGGUUUGUUAAUGCAGAUUUAACCACCCUACCCUGUCCUCGCCUUCAUACGCCGCUGGUGUUACGCUGACCAUUGGGUUCAGAGAAGAUGCUGGGGUCGGUGUCCACCGCAGAGAGUCAAGGUUCCCAAGCGUUACAGAGAUAAUCCCCAAGGCACCUCACAUCCAAGGUCAGCCUACCUCUCAGGGAACUUUGAAGUGAAAGGUUAAGAUGACCAGGCCAUAGGCAUCAAGAAGACCCUGGGGAAAUGCAGCCAGAGCUGGUGCAAUAGAAACGCUAAUAAUCACCGCCCUGCACUGAGCACUUGCUAGGUACCAGCUCCCAAUCCCGAGGCAUUUGCAUAAAACAUUCUCAGCUAUGGAAGAGACCAAAGUCAUGCACUUUUCCUCCUGGACACACAGACCCCAUUUCCUGGCCUGCCUCACAGUUGAAGCAGCUACGUGCCUGGGUUCCGGGUAUUUUGGUGGAAUGCGUGUCGCUUCUCGGUCUGGUCCGUAACCAACUCUUCUCCCACUCAGCCCAUCCCCAGCUCGCACCUCCCUAUCUAAGAGCACGCUCACGAAACAGAAGGAACAGGAGUCCCUAACCUUCCACGUGGAAGGCUGCCCAUGGAACACCCACUCGGACUAUUACAUUUGUGAAGUAAACCUUUAUGACGUUAAGCCACUAAGAUUUGAGGACUUAUCUGUUAUAAGAGCAGCUAGAAUUCCCUAAUUCCCUAAGCCCCUAAAUAGCACUAUUACUAUCAUCAUUGUCACAUGAGGCUCUUCAAAUAGAUACGCCACUCUCCCAAGACCACAGCUGGUAAGACCACAUCAGGGUUCAAACUUAAGUCAUUCAGCUCCAGAACCCAUGCUGGCCACCACCAGUGCUUUCCUAUAAAGGGUUGUGGGGAUGAAAUGAGAUAAGGCAGAUAUCUUGCUAACAUGUGACUGACACCCGGGUGAUGGAGAAUAAAGGCAGCUGUGAUUGUGAUUGUGUGGGUGUCAUGGUUGUGAUGAGCAUCCCAUGGGCCUUCGCUGACUUUCUCCAAUCCCACCUUGCCACCUUCCUACGGCCCCAACCCACACUGACCCUAACACACACCCCUAUGCGUCUCUGAUGAUCUAUAACAAAUAUAUUUGCUACCUUCCUGCCCUCUUUUUUUUUCCUUUGGUGUGAUUUCAAGUGUCUACUGAGAUUCCAUGUCCAAGCUGGGCCAAUGUACGCCUUGCCUGUGGAAUGGGUCUGAUGGAGCACAGCAAAGUUACAGGCCUGUCCUGGUCCAGUUUUUUUUUUUUUCUCAUCAGCUUGAAAGAACCUCUUCAAAGGUAAGUGACUCAAAUUAGAGGAGGAAUAAGAACUGGGGGAAUAGCUGAGAUGCAAGAAGACAAAACCAAGACCCUAAAUGUUCUCAACAGGCUGGAACAAUGAGCCAAACCUGAGAAGAAGUUUAAUAGAGAAAAACAAAUGACAAAAUCUCAGAGGAAAAGGCUGAAAGGUCACUGAUUGGAGCCUCUGAUGAAAUCCUUGCUGAAUGGAUUUCCUCCUUCCUGGUGUUUAUGAUGCAAGUCGCACCUGUUCCUAUCUGAUUAUCUCUGGCUGUAGGAAGAAAUUACCGUAUCUAUUUAAAAAUCUUGUUAAAUUCCAAUUAAAUGGACAGGGCUAGCUUAGAUGUUUUUUAAACCCCAUGCUCUUAAGCAGCUGCAUCAGAAGCAGACUUGUCUCUGAUCCUGUGUGUGUGAUCUCGGUUUCAAAAAGUGUUCCGUGAAUAAACUUCAGAGGUGUUUAUUAUUGAUGGGGGCAGCGUCCUGAUGGGGAGACUUCUAGUCUAACUGGCCAUGUUUGUUUGUUUCUAUCACCCAAAGAGAAGGGCCAUCAAAAGGGCAAAUUGCACAUCUUCUAGAAAACCGGGAGGCAGGUACUUAGAACCAAAUGCAAGAGAAAUGUUAGUGGGUUUGACCUUUGGCAAAGUUGCUAAAGCCUAAGGCCUCCACAAGGUUAACACUUGAAAAGGUUUAGGGCAAACCAGUUCCCCUCAAGUCUCAGGAAAAACGAAAGGCAGGUUAAGUAAAAGAGUGGCCAUACAAAAUAAUUAAAACAAUCGUCUUAAAUCGCCGUAGGCAUUGCUGUGGCUCUGGCAUAGGCCGGCGGCUACAGCUCUGA
Sus scrofa (pig) is the source of this 4390-nucleotide non-coding RNA. Lineage: Eukaryota; Metazoa; Chordata; Mammalia; Artiodactyla; Suidae. The record is from RefSeq and is a predicted model, not a curated record.